UACGUAGGUGGCUAGCGUUAUCCGGAUUUAUUGGGCGUAAAGGGAACGCAGGCGGUCUUUUAAGUCUGAUGUGAAAGCCUUCGGCUUAACCGGAGUAGUGCAUUGGAAACUGGGAGACUUGAGUGCAGAAGGGGAGAGUGGAACUCCAUGUGUAGCGGUGAAAUGCGUAGAUAUAUGGAAGAACACCAGUGGCGAAAGCGGCUCUCUGGUCUGUAACUGACGCUGAGGUUCGAAAGCGUGGGUAGCAAACAGG
Molecule: ribosomal RNA, 253 nt
Filed under: uncultured bacterium
Lineage: Bacteria
Description: partial 16S ribosomal RNA
Rfam family: Bacterial small subunit ribosomal RNA
Source: RNAcentral